Molecule: transfer RNA, 73 nt
Filed under: Promethearchaeota archaeon
Lineage: Archaea; Promethearchaeati; Promethearchaeota
Description: Candidatus Lokiarchaeota archaeon tRNA-Leu
Source: RNAcentral
GCGGGGAUGUCCGAGCGGUCAAAGGAGCUGGGCUUAGGACCCAGUGGCGUAGAUGGAUUAAAUAUCCAGCGCA